UGGCUCAGGAUGAACGCUAGCGGCAGGCUUAACACAUGCAAGUCGAGGGGCAGCGGGGAGGAAGCUUGCUUUCUCCGCCGGCGACCGGCGCACGGGUGAGUAACACGUAUGCAACCUGCCCCUGUCAGGGGGACAACCCGCCGAAAGGCGGGCUAAACCCGCGUACAUGCCACCGGGGCAUCCCGGAGGCAGGAAAGGCUUCGGCCGGACAGGGAUGGGCAUGCGGCGCAUUAGGCAGUAGGCGGGGUAACGGCCCACCUAACCGACGAUGCGUAGGGGUUCUGAGAGGAAGGUCCCCCACACUGGUACUGAGACACGGACCAGACUCCUACGGGAGGCAGCAGUGAGGAAUAUUGGUCAAUGGUCGGGAGACUGAACCAGCCAAGCCGCGUGAGGGAGGAAGGUACAGAGUAUCGUAAACCUCUUUUGUCAGGGAACAAAGACUGGGACGCGUCCCCGGAUGAGUGUACCUGAAGAAAAAGCAUCGGCUAACUCCGUGCCAGCAGCCGCGGUAAUACGGAGGAUGCGAGCGUUAUCCGGAUUUAUUGGGUUUAAAGGGUGCGCAGGCGGUCUGUUAAGUCAGCGGUCAAAGCCCGGGGCUCAACCCCGGCCCGCCGUUGAAACUGGCAGUCUCGAGUUGGAGAGAAGUAUGCGGAAUGCGCGGUGUAGCGGUGAAAUGCAUAGAUAUCGCGCAGAACUCCGAUUGCGAAGGCAGCAUGCCGGCUCCACACUGACGCUGAGGCACGAAAGCGUGGGUAUCGAACAGGAUUAGAUACCCUGGUAGUCCACGCAGUAAACGAUGAAUGCUAGCUGUCCGGGGGGACUGACCCCUGGGUGGCGAAGCGAAAGCGAUAAGCAUCCACCUGGGGAGUACGCCGGCAACGGUGAAACUCAAAGGAAUUGACGGGGGCCCGCACAAGCGGAGGAACAUGUGGUUUAAUUCGAUGAUACGCGAGGAACCUUACCCGGGCUCAAACGGGGAGUGACUCAGGCAGAGACGCCUGUUUCCCACGGGACACUCCCCGAGGUGCUGCAUGGUUGUCGUCAGCUCGUGCCGUGAGGUGUCGGCUUAAGUGCCAUAACGAGCGCAACCCCCGCGUGCAGUUGCUAACAGAUAACGCUGAGGACUCUGCACGGACUGCCGGCGCAAGCCGCGAGGAAGGCGGGGAUGACGUCAAAUCAGCACGGCCCUUACGUCCGGGGCGACACACGUGUUACAAUGGGUGGUACAGCGGGAAGCCAGGCGGCGACGCCGAGCGGAACCCGAAAUCCACUCUCAGUUCGGAUCGGAGUCUGCAACCCGACUCCGUGAAGCUGGAUUCGCUAGUAAUCGCGCAUCAGCCAUGGCGCGGUGAAUACGUUCCCGGGCCUUGUACACACCGCCCGUCAAGCCAUGGGAGCCGAGGGCGCUUGAAGUGCGUCGCCGCGAGGCGCGCCCUAGAGCGAAAUCGGUGACUGGGGCUAAGUCGUAACAAGGUAACCG
This 1483-nucleotide ribosomal RNA is filed under the name uncultured bacterium. RNAcentral describes it as "16S ribosomal RNA". It matches the Rfam family "Bacterial small subunit ribosomal RNA". The record is from RNAcentral.